AGAAAAAGUGUCAAUUCUGUGCAUGUUGUUGAACCAUUUGUAGAACUUUAAAAACAGUUUCUUCUUCUGUUGAUACGAAUGUGAAAAAACAUGCCGAGUUGUGAAAAGAGUAUAAAGUUUAUUUCCUUCUGAUAUACAUUGGUGUUUAUUUGCUUGUUUAAUUAAUAGUAUGGACAUUUUUUCUUGUUUGAAGGAUAAACCCGUUAAAGUUUACAUUUAGUAUGUUUUAUGAGUUAAAGUUUUCAUUUAGUAUGUUUUAUGAGUUAACGUUUUCAUUAGUAUGUUUUAUGAGUUUAAGUUUGUAUAUUUAGUAUUUUACUUAUCUUGUCAGUUUAUUAUAAGUUUAUGCUGUGUCCGUUUACUGUCAUGAUAUAUAUAUUCCUUGGAUUACCGAACUUUAUAAUUUAUGUUCACCGCCUAUUCAUGGACGUUUACACCGUGUGAAACUCUUCCUACGGUUGGACCGUGUGAUUAUGUGACAUGUUUGUGACAUUUAUUGACAUUUUAUUUGCAUUGAUUAAUUAUAUUAUGUUAUGUUUAUGGUUUUCAACACAUCUAUUUUAAAUACUUUCCCAAAAUAUUAUUUUGUUUAAUAUAUGUCCUAAAGGGGGAGGAAUAUAACAUAUGUUUUUUCUUCAGUACCUUUUCUGUUAAAGUUGUCCUGAUAAAUGACAAGAUUAUGAAUUCCAUUUGAUAUUCAGUCGGAGUCGGCCUUGCACAGGCCUCCAAAUACUUGCCGGAAUGUAUCAUUCCACUCGAGGCUAGAGUUAAAGUGUAGUCACCAAUUCGGUACUGUUCGCUAGAGUUAGCCAACCAAUUUUGGUGCAAAUAUUAGUACUUUAAAACACAACGCGAAGCAAAUUUACAUUUCUUUUAAGGCUAACUCUUGGGACACUUUAAUUUCAUUUUACAUUUGAAACUUUUUUAUUUUUGAACUCCGAUUAAGAAAGUUAUCUGACUCCUGUUUAAUCCGACUUUGUUCAAUGCAGUUAUUGUACAUUUGUGAAUAAAAUAUAGUUUCAUUUGAGUAAUUGUCUGUUGUUCGGCCAUAAUCUGAUAUCAGGUAUCCCAAUAGUCGAAUUGGGGCGAAGCACUGGCCACUACACG
Molecule: long non-coding RNA, 1107 nt
Filed under: Mytilus galloprovincialis (Mediterranean mussel)
Lineage: Eukaryota; Metazoa; Mollusca; Bivalvia; Mytilida; Mytilidae
Source: RNAcentral